AGAGUUUGAUCCUGGCUCAGAUUGAACGCUGGCGGAAUGCUUUACACAUGCAAGUCGAACGGCAGCACGGGAGCUUGCUUCUGGUGGCGAGUGGCGAACGGGUGAGUAAUACAUCGGAACAUGCCUAGUCGUGGGGGAUACCGUAGCGAAAGUUACGUUAAUACCGCAUACGUCCUGAGGGAGAAAGCAGGGGAUCGCAAGACCUUGCGCGAUUAGAGUGGCCGAUGCCUGAUUAGCUAGUUGGUGAGGUAAUGGCUCACCAAGGCGACGAUCAGUAGCGGGUCUGAGAGGAUGAUCCGCCACACUGGAACUGAGACACGGUCCAGACUCCUACGGGAGGCAGCAGUGGGGAAUUUUGGACAAUGGGGGCAACCCUGAUCCAGCCAUUCCGCGUGAGUGAAGAAGGCCUUCGGGUUGUAAAGCUCUUUCAGCAGGAACGAAACGGUACGCUCUAACAUAGCGUGCUAAUGACGGUACCUGCAGAAGAAGCACCGGCUAACUACGUGCCAGCAGCCGCGGUAAUACGUAGGGUGCGAGCGUUAAUCGGAAUUACUGGGCGUAAAGCGUGCGCAGGCGGGUUGUUAAGCAAGAUGUGAAAUCCCCGGGCUUAACCUGGGAAUGGCAUUUUGAACUGGCAGUCUAGAGUGUGUCAGAGGGGGGUAGAAUUCCACGUGUAGCAGUGAAAUGCGUAGAGAUGUGGAGGAAUACCGAUGGCGAAGGCAGCCCCCUGGGAUAACACUGACGCUCAUGUACGAAAGCGUGGGUAGCAAACAGGAUUAGAUACCCUGGUAGUCG
Molecule: ribosomal RNA, 795 nt
Filed under: uncultured bacterium
Lineage: Bacteria
Description: bacterial SSU rRNA
Rfam family: Bacterial small subunit ribosomal RNA
Source: RNAcentral